CAUAUUAAAGUUUGUUAUUGAAUUUUUCUGUUACAAUGAAUAGGUCUCAAAAUUGUUGAGUAAUAUGAGAG
This 71-nucleotide transfer RNA is filed under the name Motyxia sequoia sequoia. RNAcentral's name for it is "tRNA-Val". Lineage: Eukaryota; Metazoa; Arthropoda; Diplopoda; Polydesmida; Xystodesmidae. The record is from RNAcentral.